Molecule: unclassified non-coding RNA, 228 nt
Filed under: soil metagenome
Description: partial internal transcribed spacer 1
Source: RNAcentral
CAAAUGACCAGGCAAAAGAUUUAUCUGCUGCCAUAUACGGUCGAUCUACUUUUUUUACCGUCGCUCGCAAGAGCUUCGUGUACACCCUUUGUGAACCUUUAAACUUUGCUUCGGCAGCCACUCUGUGAUUAAAACCCACGGAGGUAAGGCUGUCGAUAGCCCAUAGCAAAACCAUUUGAUAAAAUUCUUGCAGUCUGAAAACUUUUUGAGAAAUCAAAUUACAAGUUA